RNAcentral lists this ribosomal RNA (477 nucleotides) under uncultured bacterium. RNAcentral describes it as "partial 16S ribosomal RNA". It matches the Rfam family "Bacterial small subunit ribosomal RNA", at positions 28 to 523 of the family's 1533-position model. The record is from RNAcentral.
GACGAACGCUGGCGGCGUGCUUAACACGUGCAAGUCGAACGGUAAGGCCCUUCGGGGUACACGAGUGGCGAACGGGUGAGUAACACGUGGGUGAUCUGCCCUGCAAUUCGGGAUAAGCCUGGGAAACUGGGUCUAAUACCGGAUAGACCACUGCCUGCAUGGGUGGUGGUGGAAAGCUUUUGCGGUGUGGGAUGGGCCGGCGGCCUAUCAGCUUGGUGGUGGGGUGAUGGCCUACCAAGGCGACGACGGGUAGCCGGCCUGAGAGGGGGACCGGCCACACUGGGACAGAUCUCCGGCCCAGACGCCUGCGGGAGGCAGCGGGGGGGAAGAGUGCAGAAGGGGCGCAAGCCUGAUGCAGCGACGCCGCGUGAGGGAUGACGGCCUUCGGGUUGGAAGCCUCGUUCAGCACCGACUCAGCGCAAGUGACGGUAGGUGCCGAAGAAGGACCGGCCAACUACGUGCCAGCCGCCCCAGUAA